This is a long non-coding RNA of Nematostella vectensis (starlet sea anemone), 875 nucleotides long. RefSeq lists it as uncharacterized. The transcript has 2 exons. Lineage: Eukaryota; Metazoa; Cnidaria; Anthozoa; Actiniaria; Edwardsiidae. The record is from RefSeq and is a predicted model, not a curated record.
UUGGGCUCUCAUUGGCCGGUUAACCAUGCACGUGUACAGGUAACCUUGGGCUCUCAUUGGCCGGUUAACCAUGCACGUGUACAGGUAACCUUGGGCUCUCAUUGGCCGGUUAACCAUGCACGUGUACAGGUAACCUUGGUCUCUCAUUGGCCGGUUAACGAUGCACGUGUUCAGGUAACCUUGGGCUCUCAUCGGCCGGUUAACCAUGCACGUGUUCAGGUAACCUUGGGCUCUCAUUGGCCGGUUAACCAUGCACGUGUUCAGGUAACCUUGGGCUCUCAUUGGCUGGUUAACCAUGCACGUGUUCAGGUAACCUUGGGCUCUCAUUGGCCGGUCAACCAUGCACGUGUUCAGGUAACCUUGGGCUCUCAUUGGCCGGUUAACCAUGCACGUGUUCAGGUAACCUUGGGCUCUCAUUGGCCGGUUAACCAUGCACGUGUUCAGGUAACCUUGGGCUCUCAUUGGCCGGUUAACCAUGCACGUGUUCAGAUAACCUUGGGCUCUCAUUGGCCGGUUAACCAUGCACGUGUUCAGAUAACCUUGGGCUCUCAUUGGCCGGUUAACCAUGCACGUGUUCAGAUAACCUUGGGCUCUCAUUGGCCGGUUAACCAUGCACGUGUUCAGAUAACCUUGGGCUCUCAUUGGCCGGUUAACCAUGCACGUGUUCAGGUAACCUUGCACCAAGCAAAGCACCCAUUUCCAUCGGUUCAAUCAAGCAAGCAAGUAUAGCUGAAAAAUUAUUUCAAGCAAGUAUUGCUAUUCGAGCAUUAGAUUACUGUGGCUUAUCUUCAAAUUAGCUCUACACAUGUACGGCUAGCAGGCUAUUGGCUCUUUCUAAUACAACAACCGACAGUUAGACUUUGACGUUUUUUUAG